Molecule: long non-coding RNA, 3088 nt
Filed under: Nicotiana benthamiana
Lineage: Eukaryota; Viridiplantae; Streptophyta; Magnoliopsida; Solanales; Solanaceae
Description: long non-coding RNA (NBEN_LNC040929)
Source: RNAcentral
AAUGAUGCAGUCCAAUGUCUUGAAGGCCAAAGCAUAAACAACAAUGAAUGUUCAACUGGUCCAAGUCACUGCUUCUAGCUUUUGUUUACAUACAAGUAUAUUUGAACCUACAACAAGGGGGAUGAAAAGAAUGGAAGAGUGCCAAAGGAAUAGAAACUGGAGGAAACAAAGUAAUCACAGACAGAAUCGAAGAGGAAGAAAGUGCAGAGCCAAGCAAGCAAUGCUCGCACUAUAAAACUCGGGUUCUUUGCAAUUAUUUAUCUAAAUCAAUCAAUUGAUCUACCAACUGCCCCUUAUUCGUAAACUAGUUAAGCUUGAAUAUAUGAAGCUUCUGUAUCCAUAAUCAGAGUUCAUCAUACUCGAGACUAUAUUUUUACUAGUUAUCAAUCUUCGCAACUCUCUUCCUUUAUCUUUUUUUUUAAUCAGCCGCAACUCUCUUUUUUUAUCCAAGCUUGAGAAUAUGUUUUGUGAAACUCAUAUAGGCAUAACUAAAUAAAAUUUUAUCCUUACUGCACAAAUUAGUAUUCCAUCACAAUUUUCAGCUAUUAUAACAUAGGAAUUAAAAAAAUGUUAACUUGUAAAAUCAGAAGGAAAUAUUAUAUCAAUGGGGUUUUAUGUGUAGAAGGAGUUAUCAUAUCAGCGUCGAGACUUCCUUUUGAGAAAUGAGAGCAAAUGGAGCAUUAAAAUCCGGUUAAGCACAACUCUUGUUAUUCCAUUGAAAAUCAUUAGGAAAAAAAAGGUUUCGGACAAUAGGUGUUCAUAGCGGAAAGAGAUGGAAAGUAGCGCGUUUGUGCAAAGGAGGGAUAGUGCGAUUCUGAGGCUUAAAGCAGUUGAAAUUCGUGGAUAUGUUUAGUUUAUUCCCAAACGACUAGAAGUAAUUUCAGCUUGGCCCCAAACAUCGUUUGAUUGGUAAAAUGCAUCACUUCAAAUAUAAGCAUAAAUUUCAAAAGGACUCUCUAAUUGUUCCAUUUAAAACAGUCUACUGUUUCAUUUAUUUCUCUACUCUCUGACUUCAAAUGGUAAAUUCCCAUAUGACCUUAAAAAUCGAUGAUAAGUUCAUUGAUACUUCCACCACAGAAAAUAAUUGUAAAAUGCAAACUUUACCUUUUCCAACAAGAACAAUACUAGCAAAAAGAAAACUUGAAAAGUUUAAACAGUCAUAUAGACGUUACAAUUUAGACUCAAGUGUCAAACCUAGAGUAAAACACAAGAGUUCUUUCCAGAUUCGGGAAUCAAUGAAACAACAUACAGCCAAUUCCAAAACUAACUAAUACAAAAUUUUGCCUUAUUACCGAAGAUUGUAAAACAUAAUCAAGGCAAUUGAAUCAUUGAAAAUCUUGAUGCUGCACUUCCAGCCAAAGCUUAAAUUUAGGUUGAGAAAAAGAACUCUGAACUGAGAAGUGAAUCAAAGAGGUGGCAAAGGACAGAGAGAAGAGUGUGGGAGGGACAAAAACGCAAUAAGAAGACCAGAAAAAUUAAAUAGGCACAUAGAUGUGCCAAUGCGCACUCACAACUUGUUUGGAUGGUUGUUACGCAUUGCUUCAAUAUGUAUUGUAUCAUACUGUAUGUUUUGAUGAAUACAACAUUUGGAUACAUUGCAUUGUUCCCCGCCAUUUCAUAAUUUUAUGCACCAACAAUUUGAAGAAUAAGUUUACAGUAUUACAAAUAAAAGUAGAGUACAUGGCAUAUAUUUAUUAUAAAAAUGGGUAGAGUAAAGGGUAAGAUAUGAUUAUUGAAUAAUAUUAAGGAAAAAAUAAGGGUAACAAUGCGACCAUACCAAAUGGGAUUGUUGGUUUUUUAAAAGAUGGAGCAGCAAAAAGAUUAAAAGUAUUUGAAAAUGUCUCAAUAAUUUUAUUUAGCAUAACAAGGCUUUAAAUAGCCAAUUUAAAAAUAGAAUUUGCAGUAAAAUCAGGAGAAUAAAUAUUCAAAUUCAAAAACCUAAACUAUCUCAACUAACUUAUCCUAUUAAAUUUAAAUUUAAACAAAGACUCCUCCUUCAACCGAACUACUUAUUAUUUUGGUAAAUCAAUUAUCAGCAGUAACAAAUGUAAAAUCCAACAGGGACGUUAUAUAAAAUGGAACAUUUCGUCGUUACGUAACAACACAUAUAACAAUACGAUGCAAUACAAUUUUAAGUAACAAUCAAAACAAAUAUUGUAUCUAACGUAACAACAUGAUACAAUACAAUACAAUAAGUAAAAACAAUGUCAAACCUAAUAACACAAAAUAAUUCAAUCUCUUCUUUUGUUCUUUUCAUAUCCAGGAAUGUAUAUCUUACUAUUGUUACUACUUAUUGCAAUGUUUUUUUCCCAUCUUUUCUUUAGCCGAUGAUCUACUAAAAACAACUUCUCUACCCUCCCAGGUAAAGUAUGCAUCCACACUACCCUCCUCAGACCCCACUUGUGUAAAUUCACGCCCAGGGUACGGAUAAGGUCAGCAUCCAAAGGCGAAACCAGAAGUUAAAGUUUAUGGGUUCUAAAUUUAUCAUAAAACCUAUAGCUCGUCUUAGUUACUGGGCUCACAAUUAAAUAUUUUAUAUUUAUAUUUAAUCAAUUUCCAGGUAUAAAUACAAUAUUUAAGCAAACGUGAAAGGGUACAGCCGAACCCUUACACUAUAUGAUAGCUCCGCCUCUAUCUCCGUCCACACUACCCUCCCCAGACCCCACUUGUGUAAAUUCAGAAAUCUGAAACAAUAUUAUGCUGUAGCAAAUUCCCAUAAAACAAUUUAAUAUAAAAUUUUAGCACAAUUAUCGAAGAUCGCGAAAUACAAUUAAAAAGACUGAAUCUUUGAAAAACUUUCAGAAACGAAUCAAAGGGAAUUAGGAGGUGGGAGAUUUCAGUAAUGGGAGAUAAAACUAAACACUUACGACAAAUGGGUACCUUAAAGGCGUAAACUUUGAUUGAAAAAACAACUCUGAACUGAGAAGUGAAGAAAAGUGUGGGCAAAGGCGUGAAUGGCGUCCGGUCGAGGAAAAACCUUUAACCCUUAGGGUUUAAGCGCGAAUUAUGUUGGUUUGAUAAUAAAUAGAUUUAUAUGUUGGUUUGCUAAUAAGUAGAAACUGGCUCAAACUGGUUUGAUAAUAAAUAG